CAUACUCCCAUGGCACGACACAGGGGUCACCACCAUACCAGUCAAUGAGCAGACGCCUUGACUGAUCAGCACAUCAUGCUGGUCACCAGGCCUAAAAAGACACAAAAGGACAAUUAAACUCAACGUUCUUAUUUA
Long non-coding RNA from Sinocyclocheilus rhinocerous, 135 nucleotides. RefSeq lists it as uncharacterized. Lineage: Eukaryota; Metazoa; Chordata; Actinopteri; Cypriniformes; Cyprinidae. The transcript has 2 exons. The record is from RefSeq and is a predicted model, not a curated record.